UCUCAAAAAUUGUGUGAAACAAAAGGAGUGGAUGGUGAGAGUAACCGAAAUCGAUCAACUAAUGUCAGAAAAGAGAUGAAUGGUCAUCUUGAGAAAACCGUCAAAAACUCUGCUGCAGCUAAUGUCACAAAUGGAAAAAAAGUUGAUGUCAAAAUCAUUAAAGGAAGUGCAAAAAAUUCAAAUGAAUUUCUAACAAUCGCUAACCACCUCACUUACAAGUAUACAAAUUAAUAGAGGCACCAAACUGCGAGAAAAUGCAUUGUUAUGCAGUUGUAACAGAAACUGGGACUCCACAUGCAGGUCCAACAAAAAACGUUCUCAGGAUAAAGGUAACAGAUGACUCUCUGGACGAACAAGACAUCAAAGUAUCAAUAUUCUAUGAAAAGGGUUGGGAAUCUCCGCUAAUAAGAAAACAUCAAAUAAUACGGUUUCAUCGACUCAGACUGGAAUUAUUCAAUGGAAACAGGGAUGGAUCUGUCAAUUCACAAGAUUUUAUGGUAUUUAAUCCAGAAGAGUGUGAUGCAACUGCUAAAAAAAUUAGAGGAACAUCAUGGGCGAAAAAGUAUGUCACAUUUACAGAGGAAGAUGCUGAUAUAAUUUUCAAGAUGAAAGAAUGGAUAAAUUCAAAUCUAGAGGCUGAAGCUGAGACACAGUCACCUAAACACAAUGAAAAUGACAUGAUUUUGACACUAGAAGAAAAUGUUCCUGUUAUUGAUAAUGCUGAAAAGUUGAUGCGUUAUUCGAAACCAUUGAUAAGAAGUUGUCCGCUGAAGAUUUUACAGACCUUGAAUACGAGUCUGUUUGUCACAUAUUUUGUCAGGUAAUGACAGUUUUCAAACUGGCACCAUGAAUUUUAUUUUUUUAUCUGAAGGUUUUACGUAGAAAAUAAGUUCGGUCAGCUUUUGUGUAAAGUCAUCAUUAGUCUCA
RNAcentral lists this long non-coding RNA (927 nucleotides) under Bemisia tabaci. Its description in RNAcentral is "lncRNA ENSSSA2NGG007302". Lineage: Eukaryota; Metazoa; Arthropoda; Insecta; Hemiptera; Aleyrodidae. The record is from RNAcentral.